RNAcentral lists this long non-coding RNA (256 nucleotides) under Mytilus galloprovincialis (Mediterranean mussel). Lineage: Eukaryota; Metazoa; Mollusca; Bivalvia; Mytilida; Mytilidae. The record is from RNAcentral.
GUUGGCUGACCGGAAUAUACGGUUUUUUUUGUAAGGUCACUCCUGUGGCCAUUAAGGCGUUUGUGAAAUGGCUGCAUAGAUUCACCAACAUAUUGGAGACCACAUCUAGGACACUCAAGAACGUAAAUCACGUUUGAGCUUUUGCAGUUGACAUUGCAGAAGAUCUUGUAUGUCUUUUCUGUGGUCUUACUGUGAAAUGUUGAUGAAUGCUGCAAUUGGUUGCAACAUUUGCAGCGCUUAUCCCCACAAGGCUGGC